AUUGAACGCUGGCGGCAGGCCUAACACAUGCAAGUCGAACGAGUGGCGGACGGGUGAGUAAUGUCUGGGAAACUGCCUGAUGGAGGGGGAUAACUACUGGAAACGGUAGCUAAUACCGCAUACCAUCGGAUGUGCCCAGAUGGGAUUAGCUAGUAGUUGGGGUAACGGCUCACCUAGGCGACGAUCCCUAGCUGGUCUGAGAGGAUGACCAGCCACACGGGAACUGGGAACGGGCCCAGACUCCUAGUGGAGGCAGCAGUGGGGAAUAUUUAACAAUGGGGGCAAGCCUGAGGAAGUCAGGCGGGGUGUAUGAAGAAGGCCUUCGGGUGGUAAAGUACUUUCAGCGGGGAGGGGUUACCAGCAGAAGAAGAACCGGCUAACUCCGUGCCAGCAGCCGCGGUAAUU
Molecule: ribosomal RNA, 405 nt
Filed under: uncultured bacterium
Lineage: Bacteria
Description: partial 16S ribosomal RNA
Rfam family: Bacterial small subunit ribosomal RNA
Source: RNAcentral